UCCAGACUCCUACGGGAGGCAGCAGUGAGGAAUAUUGGUCAAUGGCCGAGAGGCUGAACCAGCCAAGUCGCGUGAGGGAUGACGGCCCUACGGGUUGUAAACCUCUUUUGCCGGGGAGCAAAGAGCGGGACGCGUCCCGCCUCGAGAGUACCCGGAGAAAAAGCAUCGGCUAACUCCGUGCCAGCAGCCGCGGUAAUACGGAGGAUGCGAGCGUUAUCCGGAUUUAUUGGGUUUAAAGGGUGCGCAGGCGGAAGCGCAAGUCAGCGGUAAAAUUGAGAGGCUCAACCCCUUUAAGCCGUUGAAACUGGUGAUCUUGAGUGGGCGAGAAGUAUGCGGAAUGCGUGGUGUAGCGGUGAAAUGCAUAGAUAUCACGCAGAACUCCGAUUGCGAAGGCAGCAUACCGGCGCCCGACUGACGCUGAGGCACGAAAGCGUGGGGAUCGAACAGGAUUAGAUACCCCAGUAAG
RNAcentral lists this ribosomal RNA (466 nucleotides) under uncultured bacterium. RNAcentral's name for it is "bacterial SSU rRNA". It matches the Rfam family "Bacterial small subunit ribosomal RNA", at positions 330 to 793 of the family's 1533-position model. The record is from RNAcentral.